ACGUUAGCGGCGGACGGGUGAGUAACACGUGGGUAACCUACCUAUAAGACUGGGAUAACUUCGGGAAACCGGAGCUAAUACCGGAUAAUAUUUCGAACCGCAUGGUUCGAUAGUGAAAGGUGGUUUUGCUAUCACUUAUAGAUGGACCCGCGCCGUAUUAGCUAGUUGGUAAGGUAACGGCUUACCAAGGCGACGAUACGUAGCCGACCUGAGAGGGUGAUCGGCCACACUGGAACUGAGACACGGUCCAGACUCCUACGGAGGCAGCAGCG
RNAcentral lists this ribosomal RNA (272 nucleotides) under uncultured Staphylococcus sp. RNAcentral describes it as "partial 16S ribosomal RNA". It matches the Rfam family "Bacterial small subunit ribosomal RNA", at positions 89 to 356 of the family's 1533-position model. The record is from RNAcentral. Lineage: Bacteria; Bacillati; Bacillota; Bacilli; Caryophanales; Staphylococcaceae.